RNAcentral lists this long non-coding RNA (1521 nucleotides) under Carassius auratus (goldfish). Its description in RNAcentral is "lncRNA (ENSCARG00000000121.1)". Lineage: Eukaryota; Metazoa; Chordata; Actinopteri; Cypriniformes; Cyprinidae. The record is from RNAcentral.
AUGGCACAGCAAGGGCGUCGCUGUCCCUCCUCCCUCUUUACGUACCCUUUACAUGCUCUCCUCCCUCUUUACAUGCUCUCCUCCCUCUUUACGUCCCCUUUACAUUCUCUCCUCCCUCUUUACAUGCUCUCCUCCCUCUUUACGUCCCCUUUACAUUCUCUCCUCCCUCUUUACAUGCUCUCCUCCCUCUUUACGUCCCCUUUACAUUCUCUCCUCCCUCUUUACGUUCCCUUUACAUGCUCUCCUCCCUCUUUACGUUCCCUUUACAUGCUCUCCUCCCUCUUUACGUUCCCUUUGCAUUCUCCCCUCCCUCUUUCGUCUCCUUUAAAUUCUCCCCUCCCUCUUUACAUCCCCUUUACAUUCUCCCCUCCCUCUUUACGUCCCCUUUACAUUCUCCCCUCCCUCUUUACGUCCCCUUUACAUUCUCUCCUCCCUCUUUACGUCCCCUUUACAUUCUCUCCUCCCUCUUUACGUCCCCGUUACAUUCUCUCCUCCCACUUUACGUCCCCUUUACAUUCUCUCCUCCCUCUUUACGUCCCCUUUACAUUCUCCCCUCCCUCUUUACGUCCCCUUUACAUGCUCUCCUACUUUACGUCCUUUACAUUCUCUCCUCCCUCAUUACGUCCCCGUUACAUUCUCUCCUCCCACUUUACGUCCCCUUUACAUUCUCUCCUACCUCUUUACGUCCCCUUUACAUUCUCUCCUCCCUCUUUACGUCCCCUUUACAUUCUCUCCUACCUCUUUACGUCCCCUUUACAUUCUCUCCUCCCUCUUUACGUCCCCUUUACAUUCUCUCCUCCCUCUUUACGUCCCCUUUACAUUCUCUCCUCCCACUUUACGUCCCCUUUACAUUCUCUCCUACCUCUUUACGUCCCCUUUACAUUCUCUCCUCCCACUUUACGUCCCCUUUACAUUCUCUCCUCCCUCUUUACGUCCCCUUUACAUUCUCUCCUCCCACUUUACGUCCCCUUUACAUUCUCUCCUACCUCUUUACGUCCCCUUUACAUUCUCUCCUACCUCUUUACGUCCCCUUUACAUUCUCUCCUACCUCUUUACGUCCCCUUUACAUUCUCUCCUCCCACUUUACGUCCCCUUUACAUUCUCUCCUACCUCUUUACGUCCCCUUUACAUUCUCUCCUACCUCUUUACGUCCCCUUUACAUUCUCUCCUCCCACUUUACGUCCCCUUUACAUUCUCUCCUCCCACUUUACGUCCCCUUUACAUUCUCUCCUACCUCUUUACGUCCCCUUUACAUUCUCUCCUACCUCUUUACGUCCCCUUUACAUUCUCUCCUACCUCUUUACGUCCCCUUUACAUUCUCUCCUCCCACUUUACGUCCCCUUUACAUUCUCUCCUCCCACUUUACGUCCCCUUUACAUUCUCUCCUCCCUCUUUACGUCCCCUUUACAUUCUCUCCUCCCUCUUUACGUCCCCUUUACAUGCUCUUCUACUUUACGUCCUUUAACGUCCCCCUUUACAUUCUCUCUUCCCUCUUUACGUUGGUAUUUAGGCUUAUGUUGA